RNAcentral lists this signal recognition particle RNA (97 nucleotides) under Alteromonadaceae bacterium. RNAcentral's name for it is "signal recognition particle sRNA small type". It matches the Rfam family "Bacterial small signal recognition particle RNA". From Rfam's summary of the family: The signal recognition particle (SRP) is a universally conserved ribonucleoprotein involved in the co-translational targeting of proteins to membranes. Lineage: Bacteria; Pseudomonadati; Pseudomonadota; Gammaproteobacteria; Alteromonadales; Alteromonadaceae. The record is from RNAcentral.
GUUUGGUCCCCCCGCGGCAAUUCGCUGUAAACUCCGCCAGGCCCGGAAGGGAGCAACGGUAGCAGUAUAAUUGGGCGCCGGGGUGUGGCUGGGCUGG